GUCAACACUUCCUGUUUAAGGUUUUCGCCUCUAACAAAGAUGGUGCUUACGAUGCAGGUUCCCUAACAAUCAGGAUUCCGGUUGCCGUUUUUCUCCCCCGCCCCAAAGAUACGUGGUUGCAGACGGAGAAAUGGAGGCCAGAGACAAACAAGUGCUCCGCUCACUUCGCCUGGAGCUGGGUGCAGAGGUAUUGGUGGAAGGACUGGUUCUUCAGUACCUCUACCAGGAAGGAGUCUUGACGGAAAACCAUGUUCAAGAAAUCAAUGCUCAAACCACAGGCCUCCGGAAAACAAUGCUGCUGCUGGAUAUCCUACCUUCCAGGGGCCCUAAAGCAUUUGAUACAUUCCUAGAUUCCCUACAGGAAUUUCCCUGGGUCAGGGAGAAGCUGAAGAAGGCAAGGGAAGAAGCCAUGACCAGCCUGCCUGCAGGGUGUUGGCCACGAUCCUUAUGAUGGGGAGGAGAGGAAUCAUUAGUUUUCUGCUCUGUCCCACUGAACAACUUAGAGAUGACCUAAGGCCUCAUUACCUGUGUGGAAUAACUGGGAACUGGAAGAGAUGAGGAAACUGAGGCCAAAGGAGGCUGUGACUUGCCUGGCUUCACAGCUUGCCUGCAGAUUCUGAACCGCCAUCUUCCUCUCUCUGGCAUCACCCCAGACCCUGUCCUCUUUCCUCUAUACCAUUGGUUCUCAACCAAGGGUGAUUUUGCCUUCCAGGGGACAUAUGACAAUGUCUGGAGGCGUUUUUGGUUGUCACAACUCUAUGUAUGUGUGUGGGUGAGCAAGGGAUGGUGGGUAAUGUUGGCAUCUAGUGAGUAGAUACAGGGACGCUGCUAAACCUACAAUGCUCAGAUGGCCCCUCACAAAGGAGUAUGUUGUCCAAUGUGUCAAUAGUGCAGAGGUUGAAAAGCACUGGUCUGUACACAGCUCAGCUGUCCAGGGCAGCUGCAACCUCUGGGAGUUGCCAAGAGGUUCUCUGCCCAGCAAUAGGCUUGGCCUCUCUCCUGUGGCUGCCACAAGAGUUAAAGCCACUGUCUAGAAUGCCCUUUGGCAGUGGCCAAGUGUCCCCUGAGGAGCUGACUGCAGGACACACUGUGCAUCAGCCGGACCUGAUGUGUUUUAUAAUUUAUAGUCACAGGGCACCUGUCUUCAUUUAGCAGCAGGCCUGCUGGCAGCCUCCCUGCCAGGGAGGAAGCAAGUUCCACAGAGGCCCGCAGCCCCCACCAGCUGACAGCUCAUGGUAUUUGGGGACAGCUUUUACUCAGAGGCACCUGGGAAUAGGCCGGGGCCGAGAUGGCGCUGGGUGCUCAGUCUCCCCUUCAGACCCGUCCGUCAGCAGCGGUCCCU
Molecule: non-coding RNA, 1342 nt
Organism: Saimiri boliviensis boliviensis (Bolivian squirrel monkey)
Lineage: Eukaryota; Metazoa; Chordata; Mammalia; Primates; Cebidae
Source: RefSeq, a predicted model, not a curated record